Molecule: ribosomal RNA, 253 nt
Filed under: uncultured bacterium
Lineage: Bacteria
Description: partial 16S ribosomal RNA
Rfam family: Bacterial small subunit ribosomal RNA
Source: RNAcentral
UACGUAGGGUGCGAGCGUUAAUCGGAAUUACUGGGCGUAAAGCGUGCGCAGGCGGUUAUGCAAGACAGAGGGGAAAUCCCCGGGCUCAACCUGGGAACUGCCUUUGUGACUGCAUAGCUAGAGUACGGUAGAGGGGGAUGGAAUUCCGCGUGUAGCAGUGAAAUGCGUAGAUAUGCGGAGGAACACCGAUGGCGAAGGCAAUCCCCUGGACCUGUACUGACGCUCAUGCACGAAAGCGUGGGGAGCAAACAGG